RNAcentral lists this ribosomal RNA (265 nucleotides) under uncultured archaeon. RNAcentral's name for it is "partial 16S ribosomal RNA". It matches the Rfam family "Archaeal small subunit ribosomal RNA", at positions 717 to 982 of the family's 1478-position model. The record is from RNAcentral.
ACACGACUACAUUAGAUACCCGCGUAGUCCCAGCCGUAAACUAUGCGCGUUAGGUGUAUCGGUGACCACGAGUUACCGAGGUGCCGAAGGGAAACCGUGAAACGUGCCGCCUGGGAAGUACGGUCGCAAGGCUGAAACUUAAAGGAAUUGGCGGGGGAGCACCACGACGGGUGGAGCCUGCGGUUUAAUUGGACUCAACGCCGGGAAGCUCACCGGAUAAGACAGCGGAAUGAUUGCCGGGCUGAAGACUCUGCAUGACUAGCUG